GACGAACGCUGGCGGCGUGCUUAACACAUGCAAGUCGAACGGAAAGGCCCGGCUUUUGUGGGGUGCUCGAGUGGCGAACGGGUGAGUAACACGUGAGUAACCUGUCCUUGACUGUGGGAUAACUUCAGGAAACUGGGGCUAAUACCGGAUAGGAGCUUUUGCUGCACGGUGGGGGUUGGAAAGUUUCGGCGGUUGGGGAUGGACUCGCGGCUUAUCGGCUUGUUGGUGGGGUAGUUGCUUACCAAGGCUUUGACGGGUAGCCGGCCUGAGAGGGUGGCCGGCCACAUUGGGACUGCGAUACGGCCCAGACUCCUACGGGAGGCAGCAGUGGAGAGUAUUGCACAGUGGGCGGAAGCCUGAUGCAGCACCGCCGCGUGCGGGAUGACGGCCUUCGGGUUGUAAACCGCUUUCGCCUGUGACGAGGCGUGAGUGACGGUAAUGGGUAAAGAAGCACCGGCUGACUACGUG
This 468-nucleotide ribosomal RNA is filed under the name uncultured bacterium. Its description in RNAcentral is "partial 16S ribosomal RNA". It matches the Rfam family "Bacterial small subunit ribosomal RNA", at positions 28 to 507 of the family's 1533-position model. The record is from RNAcentral.